UCGGAUUGUAGUCUGCAACCCGACUACAUGAAGCUGGAAUCGCUAGUAAUCGCGGAUCAGAAUGCCGCGGUGAAUACGUUCCCGGGUCUUGUACACACCGCCCGUCACACCAUGGGAGUCGGAAAUGCCCGAAGUCUGUGACCUAACCGUAAGGAAGGAGCAGCCGAAGGCAGGUCGGAUGACUGGGGUGAAGUCGUAACAAGGUAAC
Molecule: ribosomal RNA, 208 nt
Filed under: uncultured bacterium
Lineage: Bacteria
Description: partial 16S ribosomal RNA
Rfam family: Bacterial small subunit ribosomal RNA
Source: RNAcentral